RNAcentral lists this long non-coding RNA (243 nucleotides) under Lathyrus oleraceus (garden pea). RNAcentral describes it as "Pisum sativum (pea) long non-coding RNA (PSAT_LNC005819)". Lineage: Eukaryota; Viridiplantae; Streptophyta; Magnoliopsida; Fabales; Fabaceae. The record is from RNAcentral.
GGACUUGGAUCGUUGUUUCAGAAAGGUUGGAUUUUUUCGUUUUCGCUCUUCUAGGAAGAAGAAGCGACCGCUCUGCUUGAUUUUUAGGUUUUCUUCCAUUUGUGUUAGUAAUACCAAAGUUGGGUUGGGUCCGACCCACCCUGGACGCAGCGCGCAUUUGUUUUAAGUGGCCCAUUCGGCCACCCAUGAGCCUAGUUUUUUUAUUUUUUUAAAUUCUCAAUUGAGUUUUGUUACUUGUAUUAG